Molecule: long non-coding RNA, 448 nt
Organism: Rhipicephalus microplus (southern cattle tick)
Lineage: Eukaryota; Metazoa; Arthropoda; Arachnida; Ixodida; Ixodidae
Source: RefSeq, a predicted model, not a curated record
AGUCGGCGCCCUGGCGGGCCGUGUUUUUAUUCGUCUGAUGUGCGUCUCCUCAACAAUGAAAGUAGUGAGCCACGUUUCGAUUUUUUCCACUUUCAUCUUUCGGCCGCACCGAGUACUUAUUCCAUGCAGGUGGCCUACUCGCACCAUAUGAGUGUGAACACGUCGUCUGUCCACCUUUAUUGACGACGGAGACGCAUAGGCUACCUUCUUUGGCCAGCCAGGGAAUGCCAAUACAUGCUUGAAUCCAGCACCGAUGCGGAAACCGUACGAAAUGUGCAGAAAUCCUACGUGCAUGGAAGUGGCACGCAGUCUUCUAUGAGCAAGUCAAGUGACAAUCUUGCAUAUGAAGGUGACCGGAAGCUCCUACGCUGCGCUCUUCCAGAUACGGAAACACGUUCCAGUGCAUCCGGCCUGUGCAGGAUAAUACUUCUAAGAAAUACAUGCUCAC